This 483-nucleotide ribosomal RNA is filed under the name uncultured bacterium. RNAcentral's name for it is "partial 16S ribosomal RNA". It matches the Rfam family "Bacterial small subunit ribosomal RNA", at positions 28 to 507 of the family's 1533-position model. The record is from RNAcentral.
GACGAACGCUGGCGGCGUGCUUAACACAUGCAAGUCGAACGCUGAAGCCCAGCUUUUGUUGGGUGGAUGAGUGGCGAACGGGUGAGUAACACGUGAGUAACCUGCCUCCUUCUUUGGGAUAACGCCCGGAAACGGGUGAUAAUACUGGAUAUUCACUGGUCUUCGCAUGGGGGUUGGUGGAAAGGGUUUUUCUGGUGGGGGAUGGGCUCGCGGCCUAUCAGCUUGUUGGUGGGGUGAUGGCCUACCAAGGCUUUGACGGGUAGCCGGCCUGAGAGGGUGACCGGUCACAUUGGGACUGUGAUACGGCCGAGACUCCUACGAGAGGCAGCAGUGGGGAAUAUGGCACAAUGGGCGCAAGCCUGAUGCAGCGACGCCGCGGGAGGGAUGGGGGCCUUCGGGUUGUGAACCUCUUUCGCUCAUGGUCAAGCCGCAACAAUGGUUGUGGUGAGGGUAGUGGGUAAAGAAGCGCCGGCUAACUACGUG